GCACCGGACAAAGACGGUGCCGGGUUUGGCGACCUGGUAGAAGCAAAAGGCGCACUGGCCGCGCAAGCGGCUUUUUC
This 77-nucleotide small RNA is filed under the name Pseudoduganella violacea. Its description in RNAcentral is "isrK Hfq binding RNA". It matches the Rfam family "isrK Hfq binding RNA". Lineage: Bacteria; Pseudomonadati; Pseudomonadota; Betaproteobacteria; Burkholderiales; Oxalobacteraceae. The record is from RNAcentral.